UACGUGGAAUGAAAUAUGAUCCUCGGCUUCUUUAUAAGGCUGUUAACUUUCUUUUUUUUAAUUUUCUUGUCACCAGAUGUCGUCCGGCAAAAGACGCCAUCAGCAACUAGUAUAAAAUUUCCUACAGCAGAGAGAAAUAAAGUCCCUUCAUCUGUUGCACUUACACUGAACUUGUUCUCAUCUUUCUCCUGGUACUACAAUUCUAUCAUUUUUCCAAACCUGAAGCAAGAUUUCUCGAAACUUUUAAUGUGUUCUUCAACAAUGCAUGCACUUCCGCAUCUCAUUUAUCCUCGACCUCAGAUGCCACUAGUUCCUCUUCCUUUUUUACCUGCUUAUGCAAUGGUAGGUUGUGGCAAUCACUUCCGCACAUACCCCUUUCUUUUUGCUGCUCAUUCUUCUGGCCAAACACCUGUGAAACUAGACUUCGUAAAAGAUUUAGAAAUUGCAAGCAUAAGAACAGAAAAUUUCUCUCACAAACUUAUUCAUAUAGACGCACGACCAAUGGUAUCUAAUAUAUCAAAUACUAUGAAACAAAAAGCUUCGAAAUUCGAUUUUUCGCGUCUAGCAGAAUCAGCUACGACCAAAGACGAUGAAAUAGAUUCCAAAGAAGCCACACGUUCUCAGAAGACAACAGAUGUUGAUGAGAUUGUUACUAAAGGACUAAUUCGCUCCCACAGACAGCGAGGUAUUCCAACUACAGCUUCUUUUCCAUUUACAUCUGGUCACUCAUUUCCGAUUAUAACACCUUUCUAUAGUAUUGGACCAGUCGAAUUUGAAGCAGAGAUCUUUGAACAGAAAGAUUCUCGAGGUCGAGGGUCAUCGAAGCCGAAGAAAGAGUUUAUCUGUAAAUAUUGUCAGCGUCACUUCACCAAAUCUUACAACCUGUUGAUUCACGAAAGAACACACACGGAUGAGCGACCUUACAGCUGCGACAUCUGCCAUAAAGCUUUCCGGAGACAAGAUCAUCUACGAGAUCACAGAUAUAUCCAUUCCAAGGACAAGCCUUUCAAGUGUACGGAAUGUGGAAAAGGCUUCUGUCAAUCUCGCACUCUAGCCGUCCACAGGAUUCUUCACAUGGAAGAUUCACCCCACAAGUGUCCAACCUGUGGGCGCAACUUUAACCAGAGAAGCAAUUUAAAGACCCAUCUGCUCACCCACACCGAUAUCAAACCAUACAACUGCGGUUCUUGUAGUAAAGUGUUCCGGCGGAACUGCGACCUCAGGCGACACAUUUUAACCCACACCCUUGACAUACCGGAUCAAACAGAAAACACUCAUCAUUCUCCAUUAAGUUGCAGUGUUCCGGACACAGACAUUUUGUCGGGAAAAUUAGAUUCUUAUAUGCACGAUAUACUAGACGUAGAGAACUGAAACUAUAGCUUUACCUCCCACACAAUCACCUUGUACAUAGAAACCGUUUUACAACGUAAACAAUUCUAUUUCAUCGAAGAACAACUUUCUUUGAGAGCCGUAAAAGAUUCAUUCUGCAAAACAAACAAUUUGAAAUUAGUUGAUAUAAUAGUGACAAAAUAACCAACUUAUAAGCAUAAAUGCUUCUAAUUGUUAACGUGGAUUGGUUUUAUGUUUUUUUAUUCUAACUCCAUCAGAACGAAAAAAAAGCUUAUUCUGAUAAAAACUAUGAUUGAUACUUUUUACACUGCUCUGUUGUUUUGUAACUUUACGGCAUUAAACUAUAACGAAGCAUUGAAUAAUAUAUAAAUGUAUUUAAAAAUAGUAUUUGUGUGAUUAGAUCGAAGCGUCUUUUAUUACAGUUUGAAACAUUUGUUUUUGUUAUUGUACCAAAGAUAUUGUUUUCAAAACUACUGUUAUACUGGUAUUAUUAUCUCUAUAGUUAUCACAAUGACAAAACAGUGUCAUCGUAUUAUGUUUUAUUUAUAAACUUAAAAUAUGCGUUUAUUAAUUAUUAGAAUCAGAAACCCAUGGAAGUCUCGGGUGCCACAGGAA
This 1965-nucleotide unclassified non-coding RNA is filed under the name Limulus polyphemus (Atlantic horseshoe crab). Its description in RNAcentral is "zinc finger protein 470-like, transcript variant X1". Lineage: Eukaryota; Metazoa; Arthropoda; Merostomata; Xiphosura; Limulidae. The record is from RNAcentral.